AGUGGCUGGUUCUCUUGGUUCCUGCUGUCAAAGGUCUUUGAUCUAGCUGCUCAUCAUCCUUCAUCUUCUUUAUAACCAAGUGGCUGGUUCUCUUGGUUCCUGCUGUCAAAGGUCUUUGAUCUAGCUGCUCAUCAUCCU
This is a long non-coding RNA of Oncorhynchus masou masou (cherry salmon), 138 nucleotides long. RefSeq lists it as uncharacterized. The record is from RefSeq and is a predicted model, not a curated record. The transcript is spliced from 3 exons. Lineage: Eukaryota; Metazoa; Chordata; Actinopteri; Salmoniformes; Salmonidae.